GACGUAGGGGGCGAGCGUUGUCCGGAGUUACUGGGCGUAAAGGGCGUGUAGGCGGACCGGCGCGUCCCGUGUGAAAGCCCCCUGGCUCAACUGGGGGAGGUCAUGGGAAACGGUCGGACUGGAGCCCGGUAGGGGGCCAUAGAAUUCCCGGUGUAGUGGUGGAAUGCGUAGAGAUCGGGAGGAACACCUGUGGCGAAGACGGCCCACUGGGCCGGUACUGACGCUGAGGCACGAAGGCGUGGGGAGCGAACGGG
RNAcentral lists this ribosomal RNA (254 nucleotides) under uncultured bacterium. RNAcentral's name for it is "partial 16S ribosomal RNA". It matches the Rfam family "Bacterial small subunit ribosomal RNA", at positions 524 to 776 of the family's 1533-position model. The record is from RNAcentral.